UACAGGGGUGGCAAGCGUUACUCGGAAUUAUUGGGUGUAAAGGGCAGGUAGGUGGCUUAGCAAGUGAGGGGUGAAAUCCCACGGUUCAAUCGUGGAACUGCCUUUCAAACUGCUGAGCUUGAGAAUGUUAGGGGAGAAUGGAAUUCCCGGUGUAAGGGUGAAAUCUGUAGAUAUCGGGAAGAACACCAACAGCGAAGGCAAUUCUCUGGGACAUUUCUGACACUAAACUGCGAAAGCUAGGGGAGCAAACAGAAUUAGAUACUCUGGUAGUCCUAGCCGUAAACGAUGAAUACUAGGUGUUGGCCCCUUCGGGGGUCGGUGCCGAAGCUAACGCAUUAAGUAUUCCACCUGGGGACUACGAUCGCAAGGUUAAA
This 374-nucleotide ribosomal RNA is filed under the name uncultured bacterium. RNAcentral's name for it is "bacterial SSU rRNA". It matches the Rfam family "Bacterial small subunit ribosomal RNA", at positions 524 to 898 of the family's 1533-position model. The record is from RNAcentral.